ACUGUUUCUAGAGCAAGUGACAAAAAAUUUGGUGGUUGGUAUCCGAGGUCCCAAGAUCAAAUCGUAAUUGAUUCACAUUUUCAACUAAGUUUAUUUCUAAAUAAAAUAAACGAAACGGAUAACAUAUUAUCUAUCUCUUAAAAAAAAAAGUAUUGAAAAGGAACAUGAAUUCAUUUUCAAUUUUUAUUGAUUAUAUUUUAGAACAAAAAUGACAAUUUCUGAUAUAUUUUGAAGCUGCACAAGAGUACAGGCAGAAAAUUUAUU
RNAcentral lists this long non-coding RNA (264 nucleotides) under Ananas comosus (pineapple). Its description in RNAcentral is "long non-coding RNA (ACOM_LNC034687)". Lineage: Eukaryota; Viridiplantae; Streptophyta; Magnoliopsida; Poales; Bromeliaceae. The record is from RNAcentral.